CAGCAGCCGCGGGAAUACGGAGGGAGCUAGCGUUAUUCGGAAUUACUGGGCGUAAAGCGCACGUAGGCGGCUUUGUAAGUUAGAGGUGAAAGCCUGGAGCUCAACUCCAGAAUUGCCUUUAAGACUGCAUCGCUUGAAUCCAGGAGAGGUGAGUGGAAUUCCGAGUAUAGAGGUGAAAUUCGUAGAUAUUCGGAAGAACACCAGUGGCGAAGGCGGCUCACUGGACUGGUAUUGACGCUGAGGUGCGAAAGCGUGGGGAGCAAACAGGAUUAGAUACCCCAGUAGUCCCUGUCUCUUAUAC
Molecule: ribosomal RNA, 301 nt
Filed under: uncultured bacterium
Lineage: Bacteria
Description: partial 16S ribosomal RNA
Rfam family: Bacterial small subunit ribosomal RNA
Source: RNAcentral